This 207-nucleotide ribosomal RNA is filed under the name uncultured microorganism. RNAcentral's name for it is "partial 16S ribosomal RNA". It matches the Rfam family "Archaeal small subunit ribosomal RNA", at positions 330 to 536 of the family's 1478-position model. The record is from RNAcentral.
GUGCACCAGGCGCGAAUCCUCCGCAAUGCGGGAAACCGCGACGGGGUCACCCCGAGUGCCGCCCUAACGGGUGGCUGUGGCCCGGUGUAAGCAGCCGGGCUUAGAAAGGGGAGGGCAAGGCUGGUGCCAGCCGCCGCGGUAAAAACCAGCUCCUCGAGUGGUCGGGACGAUAUUGGGCCUAAAAGCGUCCGUAAGCCGGCCCCGUAA